This 292-nucleotide ribosomal RNA is filed under the name uncultured bacterium. Its description in RNAcentral is "partial 16S ribosomal RNA". The record is from RNAcentral.
GGACUACUGGGGUUUCUAAUCCCGUUCGCUACCCACGCUUUCGUGCUUGAGUGUCAGAAACGCGCCAGUCUGCUGCCUUCGCUUUCGGUGUUCCCCUGGAUAUCAACGGAUUUCACCCCUACACCCAGAGUUCCACAGACCUCUCACGCUCUCGAGUCGUGCCGUUUCGUUUGCAGAUCCGGGGUUGAGCCCCGGGGUUUAACAAACGACUAACACGACCACCUACGCACUCUUUACGCCCAGUAAUUCCGGGUAACGCUUGGGGCCUCUGUAUUACCGCGGCUGCUGGCAC